Molecule: ribosomal RNA, 483 nt
Filed under: uncultured archaeon
Lineage: Archaea
Description: bacterial SSU rRNA
Rfam family: Archaeal small subunit ribosomal RNA
Source: RNAcentral
AAAAACCGAGUAUUCUGAGUGAUUCCGCUGAGGAAUCUUUUUUCCUAGAUUCUAAAACGUCUAGGGAAUAAGGGGAGGGCAAGUCUGGUGUCAGCCGCCGCGGUAAUACCAGCUCCUCGAGUGGUCAGGGCGUUUAUUGGGCCUAAAGCAUCCGUAGCCUGCUCAGUAGGUCUCCUGUUAAAUCCAACGGCUCAACCGUUGGUCUGCAGGAGAUACCGCUGGGCUAGGAGGCGGGAGAGGCGGACGGUACUCCGAGGGUAGGGGUAAAAUCCUUUGAUCCCCGGAAGACCACCAAUGGCGAAGGCGGUCCGCCAGAACGCGCUCGACGGUGAGGGAUGAAAGCUGGGGGAGCGAACCGGAUUAGAUACCCGGGUAGUCCCAGCCGUAAACGAUGCUAGCUAGAUGAUUCAUUCGCAAGUCGCGAAUGAAGUGUCGCAGGGAAGCCGUUAAGCUAGCCGCCUGGGGAGUACGGUCGCAAGACUG